This 1267-nucleotide ribosomal RNA is filed under the name uncultured bacterium. RNAcentral's name for it is "partial 16S ribosomal RNA". It matches the Rfam family "Bacterial small subunit ribosomal RNA", at positions 94 to 1379 of the family's 1533-position model. The record is from RNAcentral.
AGUGGCGGACGGGUGAGUAACGCGUGGGUAACCUGCCCUGUACAGGGGGAUAACAGUUGGAAACGGCUGCUAAUACCGCAUAAGCGCACGAAGGGACAUCCCUUUGUGUGAAAAACUCCGGUGGUACAGGAUGGGCCCGCGUCUGAUUAGCUGGUUGGCAGGGUAACGGCCUACCAAGGCGACGAUCAGUAGCCGGUCUGAGAGGAUGAACGGCCACAUUGGAACUGAGACACGGUCCAAACUCCUACGGGAGGCAGCAGUGGGGGAUAUUGCACAAUGGAGGAAACUCUGAUGCAGCAACGCCGCGUGAGGGAAGACGGUCUUCGGAUUGUAAACCUAAGUUAUCAGGGACGAACAAGAUGACGGAACCUGAAGAGAAAGCUCCGGCUAACUACGUGCCAGCAGCCGCGGUAAUACGUAGGGAGCGAGCGUUGUCCGGAUUUACUGGGUGUAAAGGGUGCGUAGGCGGGUCGGUAAGUCAGGCGUGAAAUCCCGCGGCUUUAACUGCGGGGGUGCGCUUGAAACUGUCGAUCUUGAGUGAAGUAGAGGCAAGCGGAAUUCCUAGUGUAGCGGUGAAAUGCGUAGAUAUUAGGAGGAACACCAGUGGCGAAGGCGGCUUGCUGGGCUUUAACUGACGCUGAGGCACGAAAGCAUGGGGAGCAAACAGGAUUAGAUACCCUGGUAGUCCAUGCCGUAAACGAUGAUUGCUAGGUGUGGGGGGUCGACUCCCUCCGUGCCGGAGUAAACGCAAUAAGCAAUCCACCUGGGGAGUACGACCGCAAGGUUGAAACUCAAAGGAAUUGACGGGGGCCCGCACAAGCAGUGGAGUAUGUGGUUUAAUUCGAAGCAACGCGAAGAACCUUACCUAGACUUGACAUGUCCUGAAUUACCAGUAAUGUGGGAAGUUCCUUCGGGAACAGGAACACAGGUGGUGCAUGGUUGUCGUCAGCUCGUGUCGUGAGAUGUUGGGUUAAGUCCCGCAACGAGCGCAACCCUUAUUGUUAGUUGGUACCAUUAAGUUGACCACUCUAGCGAGACUGCCCGGGUUAACCGGGAGGAAGGUGGGGAUGACGUCAAAUCAUCAUGCCCCUUAUGUCUAGGGCUACACACGUGCUACAAUGGCAAGUACAAAGAGAAGCAAUACUGUGAAGUGGAGCAAAACUCAAAAACUUGUCUCAGUUCGGAUUGUAGGCUGAAACUCGCCUACAUGAAGCUGGAGUUGCUAGUAAUCGCGAAUCAGAAUGUCGCGGCGAAUACGUUCCCGGGU